RNAcentral lists this ribosomal RNA (404 nucleotides) under Actinomycetes bacterium. Its description in RNAcentral is "Actinobacteria bacterium partial 16S ribosomal RNA". It matches the Rfam family "Bacterial small subunit ribosomal RNA", at positions 355 to 776 of the family's 1533-position model. The record is from RNAcentral. Lineage: Bacteria; Bacillati; Actinomycetota; Actinomycetes.
UGGGGAAUAUUGGACAAUGGGCGCAAGCCUGAUCCAGCCAUGCCGCGUGAGUGAUGAAGGCCCUAGGGUUGUAAAGCUCUUUCACCGGUGAAGAUAAUGACGGUAACCGGAGAAGAAGCCCCGGCUAACUUCGUGCCAGCAGCCGCGGUAAUACGAAGGGGGCUAGCGUUGUUCGGAUUUACUGGGCGUAAAGCGCACGUAGGCGGACUAUUAAGUCAGGGGUGAAAUCCCGGGGCUCAACCCCGGAACUGCCUUUGAUACUGGUAGUCUUGAGUUCGAGAGAGGAGAGUGGAAUUCCGGGUGUAGAGGUGAAAUUCGUAGAUAUUCGGAGGAACACCAGUGGCGAAGGCGGCUCACUGGCUCGAUACUGACGCUGAGGUGCGAAAGCGGGGGGAGCAAACAGG